UAGUUUUAUGUUUGGGGGCCUCACAACCUGAGGGACUGAAUUAAGGGGUCGCGUCAUUAGGAAGGUUGAGAGCCACUGGUGUGGAUACACAUUUCCUGGGAAUUGUAGUCUGACCAGGUCUUUUUCCUUCUCUGCCAAGGAGUGCUGGUGCCUCACCCAAUCCCAACUCCCAGCACGGCUGCGCGGGAGUUCAAGCGCCAUCAAACCCCAUGAAUUCUACAGCGGAGCAGCGGCACCCUAAAGUUUCCUUUUCUGGCCAAGACACGUAAUCGCCGAUUCCAAAGCCAAGUCAUUUCCUGUAUUCCCCAAAGUAUUGUAAACUGCCUUGUGUAAGUAUUUAUUCACAUCUAAGUAUGGAAACGCCUCUUAAGUGGAAGUUCUUAAGAGUUCCAUUUAUGAUAAACAUGACGUAGAUGUGCGUAGGUGCCGCACUUUGCAGCGUUUCCAAGUCUGACACCACUGGGUUACUAUGGACUCUGGCAAUUCCCCUCCAAGAGCGUUGGCCUUAUUAUGUUUGACUAACAUGGAUAGGAAAACAACUCAGUGGAAACUGGAAGGAGGCAUCACGUCGUGUGGGCCCGAUUCAUUUCCUCCGCGUCCACCCUGUUAUCUCCCAAAUGGCUUCUGGAGCCGCAAAGAUCAAUAUUUGCUUUCUAAAUGGAGCUGUACAGGAGUUGAUUGUAAAUUGUAUGAUUUUGACUGUAUUUGUGUUUAGAUUGGCUGCAGUAAUGCUGGAGCGGCCUAAGUCUGAGGAGUCCUCCAUGUGUGUUGCCAUGGAGACCGAUGCAGGAGAGAGGGAAGUGGGAGGUGUCAGGGUGAGCCCCUCAGGGCUGCGCAGCAUACAAAAACACAUAGAUUCAAUUAGCACACAGCAGUCCUCUCCGGUUUCAAAAUAAUAAACUUUACUGGAAGCCCCUUCUAUAUGCGACUACAUGUUGAUGAGGAAAGAUGGCGACUGACAAAGUACAGGACUAAACACACAGACAAAGAAAAAUCUGCCUUCCUGUCUUAUCUAUCUUGUAGCUGGUUGACUCCCUUUUGUUCUCAGGGCUGUUAUCUCAGUCUCAAGGACUUUACUCUCUGGCCUAUAACAACAAUAAUCUACUACACAAAUGAACAAAAAUGAGCAUGACUGAAACCAUCUUGAAUUACAUUAUUAACACAUUGAAAAACAUACAUAUAAUAUUUGCAAUUAUCCUGACAGGAGGAGCUUAGAGGGGAGAGUUUGAAAGAACGACAGUUAAAAAUCAGUUAGGGUUUAGGUUCCGAGGAGUGAGGAGUUAGGGUUUAGGUUCCGAGGAGUGAGGAGUUAGGGUUUAGGUUUAGAGGAGUGAGGAGUUAGGGUUUAGGUUCCGAGGAGUGAGGAGUUAGGGUUUAGGUUCCGAGGAGUGAGGAGUUAGGGUUUAGGUUCCGAGGAGUGAGGAGUUAGGGUUUAGGUUCCGAGGAGUGAGGAGUUAGGGUUUAGGUUUAGAGGAGUGAGGAGUUAGGGUUUAGGUUCCGAGGAGUGAGGAGUUAGGGUUUAGGUUCCGAGGAGUGAGGAGUUAGGGUUUAGGUUUAGAGGAGUGAGGAGUUAGGGUUUAGGUUCAGAGGAGUGAGGAGUUAGGGUUUAGGUUUAGAGGAGUGAGGAGUUAGGGUUUAGGUUUAGAGGAGUGAGGAGUUAGGGUUUAGGUUCCGAGGAGUGAGGAGUUAGGGUUUAGGUUCCAAGGAGUGAGGAGUUAGGGUUUAGGUUCCGAGGAGUGAGGAGUUAGGGUUUAGGUUCCGAGGAGUGAGGAGUUAGGGUUUAGGUUUAGAGGAGUGAGGAGUUAGGGUUUAGGUUCAGAGGAGUGAGGAGUUAGGGUUUAGGUUUAGAGGAGUGAGGAGUUAGGGUUUAGGUUUAGAGGAGUGAGGAGUUAGGGUUUAGGUUUAGAGGAGUGAGGAGUUAGGGUUUAGGUUCCGAGGAGUGAGGAGUUAGGGUUUAGGUUCCGAGGAGUGAGGAGUUAGGGUUUAGGUUUAGAGGAGUGAGGAGUUAGGGUUUAGGUUCCGAGGAGUGAGGAGUUAGGGUUUAGGUUUAGAGGAGCUGGUAGAGGAAAGGAUUAGGAGGUUGUAGCUGAAAGAGAGUGAAUUGUGAAGCAAAGUUUCGAGGCUUUGGAAAGCCAGAUUAAGCUACUGGAAGUUCCUUAGCCUAGAGAGGCUGAUAAGGGAAACGAAGCCAGUAUUCCUUUAGUCUAAGGAAAGGCUAAAGAAUAAUCUGAUUAAGUAUCUGAUCAAGGGAGGAUCAGACAAGGGAGACAUCCCUGUAUUGAAACUUUGUUUGGUAAUAAG
Molecule: non-coding RNA, 2301 nt
Organism: Anolis sagrei ordinatus
Lineage: Eukaryota; Metazoa; Chordata; Lepidosauria; Squamata; Anolidae
Source: RefSeq, a predicted model, not a curated record